AUUAUAAUACUCCCUUAUACAUGAUUGAUGAAGAUUAUACAUAGCCUUCAUAUAAUCUGAGACGGCUGCAACCAGGACAUCGUGCUCCACACGGGAUGAAUUCUUCAAUGGCUUAAUCCUUCUUCUCCAAAUACCAUCAUCCUGAUGUUUUAUGGGAUAGAAUCGAGCAGAACUCGACCCUAUUUCCACCUUAUGCUUUUCACAUAACUCUGUGAGGGCGGUCAUGGCUGCCCUCUCAAUAGUGUCAUUGAAUUCAAAACCUUGCUCCAUAACUUCCUCCAAAUGCCAGUUAGGAUUUGUAUCUUCAUCUGGAAUGUGGACGUAAACAGUGCAAUACUGCUUAUGGCAUGUGUCCUCCUUCCUCCAGUAAUAUUCAGGAGGAUUAUGAAAUCCCAACUCCUGAAGUGUCUUCCACAACAGCUGUGUAAAUCCAGGUUUGUCCAGAUAGUGCC
Molecule: long non-coding RNA, 452 nt
Filed under: Setaria italica (foxtail millet)
Lineage: Eukaryota; Viridiplantae; Streptophyta; Magnoliopsida; Poales; Poaceae
Description: long non-coding RNA (SITA_LNC006882)
Source: RNAcentral